GGGGUGAUGGUGCAGUUGGGAGCUCGUCUGACUGAAGUUUCAUAUGAAAUCGGAUCAUCAGAAGGUCACCGGUUCGAUCCCGGUUCACCCCA
Aspergillus terreus NIH2624 is the source of this 92-nucleotide transfer RNA. It matches the Rfam family "tRNA". From Rfam's summary of the family: Transfer RNA (tRNA) molecules are approximately 80 nucleotides in length. Their secondary structure includes four short double-helical elements and three loops (D, anti-codon, and T loops). Further hydrogen bonds mediate the characteristic L-shaped molecular structure. tRNAs have two regions of fundamental functional importance: the anti-codon, which is responsible for specific mRNA codon recognition, and the 3' end, to which the tRNAs corresponding amino acid is attached (by aminoacyl-tRNA synthetases). tRNAs cope with the degeneracy of the genetic code in two manners: having more than one tRNA (with a specific anti-codon) for a particular amino acid; and 'wobble' base-pairing, i.e. permitting non-standard base-pairing at the 3rd anti-codon position. The record is from Rfam. Lineage: Eukaryota; Fungi; Ascomycota; Eurotiomycetes; Eurotiales; Aspergillaceae.